Molecule: transfer RNA, 70 nt
Filed under: Exechonella vieirai
Lineage: Eukaryota; Metazoa; Bryozoa; Gymnolaemata; Cheilostomatida; Exechonellidae
Description: tRNA-Lys
Source: RNAcentral
AACUUAGUAGCUUAAACACACAAAGCUCUAGACUUUUAAUCUAACCCAUGAAUCUCCGAUUCCUAAGUUA